GCGGCGGACGGGUGAGUAACACGUGGAUAACCUACCUAUAAGACUGGGAUAACUUCGGGAAACCGGAGCUAAUACCGGAUAAUAUUUUGAACCGCAUGGUUCAAAAGUGAAAGACGGUCUUGCUGUCACUUAUAGAUGGAUCCGCGCUGCAUUAGCUAGUUGGUAAGGUAACGGCUUACCAAGGCAACGAUGCAUAGCCGACCUGAGAGGGUGAUCGGCCACACUGGAACUGAGACACGGUCCAGACUCCUACGGGAGGCAGCAGUAGGGAAUCUUCCGCAAUGGGCGAAAGCCUGACGGAGCAACGCCGCGUGAGUGAUGAAGGUCUUCGGAUCGUUAAACUCUGUUAUUAGGGAAGAACAUAUGUGUAAGUAACUGUGCACAUCUUGACGGUACCUAAUCAGAAAGCCACGGCUAACUACGUGCCAGCAGCCGCGGUAAUACGUAGGUGGCAAGCGUUAUCCGGAAUUAUUGGGCGUAAAGCGCGCGUAGGCGGUUUUUUAAGUCUGAUGUGAAAGCCCACGGCUCAACCGUGGAGGGUCAUUGGAAACUGGAAAACUUGAGUGCAGAAGAGGAAAGUGGAAUUCCAUG
RNAcentral lists this ribosomal RNA (591 nucleotides) under uncultured Staphylococcus sp. RNAcentral's name for it is "bacterial SSU rRNA". It matches the Rfam family "Bacterial small subunit ribosomal RNA", at positions 95 to 673 of the family's 1533-position model. The record is from RNAcentral. Lineage: Bacteria; Bacillati; Bacillota; Bacilli; Caryophanales; Staphylococcaceae.